GGAAUCCGAUGAAAGCUAGUGAUGAUCAGAGCUCAAGCUUUCCCUUGCAGUAAUCUUGAUUGAUUCUUGUGGUCCCUAAAAAAUAUUAUGGCCCUCAAUAUUUUCAAGAGUCUUGCAUUCACCAUUACCAUUUUGAAGGUCUAUCAAAUCUUCCCUUUUGGAUUGAGUAGCUAGUUCUUGGUCUUUGCGGUCUUAUGGCUGAAGCAGUGUAAUCUAUAGCUAAAAAUGAUCUGAGAUAAAAAGGGAUCAAGUUGGUCAAGAUAAAACCAGGAGUUGAAAUGGGGUAAGUAAAAAUUUUCUCCUUCUUUGUCCAUUUAAGUUCACUAUCUUAUCAAACAUAAUCAAGUGUGUUAUCUUCAUCAUGUACUAUUAUCCGAAUAUGUGUAUUAUCGAUCGAUCGAUGCAAAACUAUAUAUCCUAGUUGCAAGUUUCUCAAUUAAUUUUUGGCCUUGAUGAUCACUAUUAGUGGAUCAAUGUAG
This 479-nucleotide unclassified non-coding RNA is filed under the name Hevea brasiliensis (rubber tree). The record is from RNAcentral. Lineage: Eukaryota; Viridiplantae; Streptophyta; Magnoliopsida; Malpighiales; Euphorbiaceae.